Molecule: ribosomal RNA, 445 nt
Filed under: uncultured bacterium
Lineage: Bacteria
Description: partial 16S ribosomal RNA
Rfam family: Bacterial small subunit ribosomal RNA
Source: RNAcentral
GUGAGGAAUAUUGGUCAAUGGGCGCAAGCCUGAACCAGCCAUGCCGCGUGCAGGAAGACGGUCCUAUGGAUUGUAAACUGCUUUUAUUUGGGAAUAAACUCCGGUACGUGUACCGGCCUGAAGGUACCAAAUGAAUAAGCACCGGCUAACUCCGUGCCAGCAGCCGCGGUAAUACGGAGGGUGCAAGCGUUAUCCGGCAUCAUUGGGUUUAAAGGGUCCGCAGGCGGUCUUAUAAGUCAGUGGUGAAAGCCUACAGCUCAACUGUAGAACUGCCAUUGAUACUGUAGGACAUGAAUUCGAUCGAAGUGGGCGGAAUGUGACAUGUAGCGGUGAAAUGCUUAGAUAUGUCACAGAACACCGAUAGCGAAGGCAGCUCACUAGGUCUGGAUUGACGCUCAGGGACGAAAGCGUGGGGAGCAAACAGGAUUAGAAACCCCGGUAGUCC